GACGAACGCUGGCGGCGUGCUUAACACAUGCAAGUCGAACGGAAAGGCCCUGCUUUUGUGGGGUGCUCGAGUGGCGAACGGGUGAGUAACACGUGAGUAACCUGCCCUUGACUUUGGGAUAACUUCAGGAAACUGGGGCUAAUACCGGAUAGGAGCUCCUGCUGCAUGGUGGGGGUUGGAAAGUUUCGGCGGUUGGGGAUGGACUCGCGGCUUAUCAGCUUGUUGGUGGGGUAGUGGCUUACCAAGGCUUUGACGGGUAGCCGGCCUGAGAGGGUGAGCGGCCACAUUGGGACUGAGAUACGGCACAGACUCCUACGGGAGGCAGCAGUGGGGAAUAGUGCACAAUGGGCGGAAGCCUGAUGCAGCAACGCCGCGUGCGGGAUGACGGCCUUCGGGUUGUAAACCGCUUUCGCCUGUGACGAAGCGUGAGUGACGGUAAUGGGUAAAGAAGCACCGGCUAACUACGUG
RNAcentral lists this ribosomal RNA (468 nucleotides) under uncultured bacterium. RNAcentral's name for it is "partial 16S ribosomal RNA". It matches the Rfam family "Bacterial small subunit ribosomal RNA", at positions 28 to 507 of the family's 1533-position model. The record is from RNAcentral.